GACGAACGCUGGCGGCGUGCCUAAUACAUGCAAGUUGAGCGAUGAAGAUUGGUGCUUGCCCCAAUUUGAAGAGCAGCGAACGGGUGAGUAACGCGUGGGGAAUCUGCCUUUGAGCGGGGGACAACAUUUGGAAACGAAUGCUAAUACCGCAUAAUAACUUUAAACAUAAGUUUUAAGUUUGAAAGAUGCAAUUGCAUCACUCAAAGAUGAUCCCGCGUUGUAUUAGCUAGUUGGUGAGGUAAAGGCUCACCAAGGCGAUGAUACAUAGCCGACCUGAGAGGGUGAUCGGCCACAUUGGGACUGAGACACGGCCCAAACUGCUACGGGAGGCAGCAGUAGGGAAUCUUCGGCAAUGGACGAAAGUCUGACCGAGCAACGCCGCGUGAGUGAAGAAGGGUUUCGGAUCGUAAAACUCUGUUGGUAGAGAAGAACGUUGGUGAGAGUGGAAAGCUCAUCAAGUGACGGUAACUACCCAGAAAGGGACGGCUAACUACGUG
RNAcentral lists this ribosomal RNA (497 nucleotides) under uncultured bacterium. RNAcentral's name for it is "partial 16S ribosomal RNA". It matches the Rfam family "Bacterial small subunit ribosomal RNA", at positions 28 to 507 of the family's 1533-position model. The record is from RNAcentral.